CUUUAUAUAUAAAUGAAGUAAUGCUGUAUUGGCCGCAAAAGAAGGCCAUGCACCAUACUAAUGUAUUAUUGUGGUCUAAAACCAGGCGUUUCAGUUAUAUAUACAUAUAUUAAAAAAAUCAGCACAACACGCAUUGUCUUUUUUCAUUCCUCAAGAAAUGAGUGCUCCUGUUUAGUACUUAAUAAUAAUAAUAAAACACACGUCAGUUUCAUACAUGUUUGGUACAGUAGGGAGAGAAAACUAACAAUUGUUUUAUUUUUUAUUUUAUAUAAACAGCGUUUUCUGAACAAUGUAUGACUUUGCCUUCAAAUAAACUCAGUUCUAAUUACUUUAAGCAUAAAAAAAAUCUAUCUCCGGUAAUGCUAUACAGUGCUGUAUUAGCAUUAAUAAUGCCCUAUUAAAGCACAUUACUACAAUAUUAAAAAGCCGCAAUUAACAACAGAGUCCAAUCUAUUACAUUCAAUUUCUAUUUAUUAGCAGAUACAAUAAAUAACACUCAAAUAGUAUGCAAACAUAUCAACCGGAUACGCAAUAUUCUAGCAACAAGAUGCUAACAAACUGGUUAAGAUCACGUGACGCGACUGUGGUCAUUUCGCGUUAUAACCGGUAUCUAGUAGAAAAUAUUUAAAGGGAAGGGACGCUGUGUUAUGAGACUGUUUUGGUCCUCUUCUGUCUAAAAGUAUGUGGACCAGUUUUGGGCCGGCGAAGACCUAUUAAUCUAGGCCUUACUUUAGCUGUUGAUACUGUGCCAAAGCAAAUUUGCCGACUGCCGCUCUUCGCUUCCGCUUGUCGCGCGCCCCAAAGAGCGUCAUAACUGCAUUAAUGAAUUCAAUUUCCGCAUAAAUAGAUGUCAUUUGAAAGAUGAGAGUUUGUUUCUUAUCGAAGAGGACAAAGAUAAGCACUGCGAUUACAGGAUGCGAUAAUAAUAGUGAAGACUAGUGAAACGGAUUGUUCCGCACGUGCGGUGGUUAAAAUUACACAUUUGAAAAUUGCAGUUUUCGGCACGAAUAAGUGUAUCAUACACCCUUAGAUAAUAUUUAAAACACCAACACCGCACUUACCUGACAUGUCUGGGCAAAGACUGUUUUAAAUAAGGAGCUUUUUCACCAUCUUCUUAACGGCGGUCGAAAAAGGAAGCCGAGUGAAAAAUGACGGAUAGGAAUAAGAAAAUCAAGUGGUUCUGACUGUAUCGAGGACUGAAGUACGGACCAGUCACGCCCUCUAGUGGAUCCAUCUGACAGCUCCAUCUCCACCAUUUGAAGCGAGACUGAUAGAGAAACAAGCUCUUGAAUGACCAUGCGCAGACGCUCUGUGACAGACAUGUGACGAGGAGAGGAUCUGGCAAGGGUACUUUCAGUGGAGUAAGGGUUCCUGUGGCCCUCCGGCACGGGGACAGA
Molecule: long non-coding RNA, 1397 nt
Organism: Puntigrus tetrazona (Sumatra barb)
Lineage: Eukaryota; Metazoa; Chordata; Actinopteri; Cypriniformes; Cyprinidae
Exons: 4
Source: RefSeq, a predicted model, not a curated record